This 433-nucleotide ribosomal RNA is filed under the name uncultured bacterium. RNAcentral's name for it is "partial 16S ribosomal RNA". It matches the Rfam family "Bacterial small subunit ribosomal RNA", at positions 29 to 507 of the family's 1533-position model. The record is from RNAcentral.
AACGAACGCUGGCGGCAUGCCUAACACAUGCAAGUCGAACGAGACCAUCGGGACUGGUGGCGCACGGGUGCGUAACGCGUGGGAACCUGCCCUUAGGUUCGGAAUAACUCUCCGUAGGGGGUGCUAAUACCGGAAAAUGUCCUCGAAUCAAAGAUAGAUCGUCCUUGGGGGGGCCGGAGUUGGUUUAGCUAGUUGGUAGGGGAAAAGCCUACCAAGGCGAGGAUAGAUAGCUGGUCUGAGAGAAUGAUCAGCGACACUGGGGCGGAGACACGGCCGAGACUCCUGCGCGAGGGAGGAGAGGGGGAUACUGGACAAUGGGGGAAAGGCUGAUGCAGCAAGGCCGGGUGAGUGAUGAAGGCCUUAGGGAAGUAAAGCACUUUUACACGGCAUGAUAAUGACAGUACCGAGAGAAUAAGCACCGGCUAACUCCGUG